UUAAGCGUGUAGGCUGGUUUUCCAGGCAAAUCCGGAAAAUCAAGGCUGAGGCGUGAUGACGAGGCACUACGGUGCUGAAGCAACAAAUGCCCUGCUUCCAGGAAAAGCCUCUAAGCAUCAGGUAACAUCAAAUCGUACCCCAAACCGACACAGGUGGUCAGGUAGAGAAUACCAAGGCGCUUGAGAGAACUCGGGUGAAGGAACUAGGCAAAAUGGUGCCGUAACUUCGGGAGAAGGCACGCUGAUAUGUAGGUGAAGCGACUUGCUCGUGGAGCUGAAAUCAGUCGAAGAUACCAGCUGGCUGCAACUGUUUAUUAAAAACACAGCACUGUGCAAACACGAAAGUGGACGUAUACGGUGUGACGCCUGCCCGGUGCCGGAAGGUUAAUUGAUGGGGUCAGCGCAAGCGAAGCUCUUGAUCGAAGCCCCGGUAAACGGCGGCCGUAACUAUAACGGUCCUAAGGUAGCGAAAUUCCUUGUCGGGUAAGUUCCGACCUGCACGAAUGGCGUAAUGAUGGCCAGGCUGUCUCCACCCGAGACUCAGUGAAAUUGAACUCGCUGUGAAGAUGCAGUGUACCCGCGGCAAGACGGAAAGACCCCGUGAACCUUUACUAUAGCUUGACACUGAACAUUGAGCCUUGAUGUGUAGGAUAGGUGGGAGGCUUUGAAGUGUGGACGCCAGUCUGCAUGGAGCCGACCUUGAAAUACCACCCUUUAAUGUUUGAUGUUCUAACGUUGACCCGUAAUCCGGGUUGCGGACAGUGUCUGGUGGGUAGUUUGACUGGGGCGGUCUCCUCCUAAAGAGUAACGGAGGAGCACGAAGGUUGGCUAAUCCUGGUCGGACAUCAGGAGGUUAGUGCAAUGGCAUAAGCCAGCUUGACUGCGAGCGUGACGGCGCGAGCAGGUGCGAAAGCAGGUCAUAGUGAUCCGGUGGUUCUGAAUGGAAGGGCCAUCGCUCAACGGAUAAAAGGUACUCCGGGGAUAACAGGCUGAUACCGCCCAAGAGUUCAUAUCGACGGCGGUGUUUGGCACCUCGAUGUCGGCUCAUCACAUCCUGGGGCUGAAGUAGGUCCCAAGGGUAUGGCUGUUCGCCAUUUAAAGUGGUACGCGAGCUGGGUUUAGAACGUCGUGAGACAGUUCGGUCCCUAUCUGCCGUGGGCGCUGGAGAACUGAGGGGGGCUGCUCCUAGUACGAGAGGACCGGAGUGGACGCAUCACUGGUGUUCGGGUUGUCAUGCCAAUGGCACUGCCCGGUAGCUAAAUGCGGAAGAGAUAAGUGCUGAAAGCAUCUAAGCACGAAACUUGCCCCGAGAUGAGUUCUCCCUGACCCUUUAAGGGUCCUGAAGGAACGUUGAAGACGACGACGUUGAUAGGCCGGGUGUGUAAGCGCAGCGAUGCGUUGAGCUAACCGGUACUAAUGAACCGUGAGGCUUAACCUUACAAC
RNAcentral lists this ribosomal RNA (1443 nucleotides) under Escherichia coli. Its description in RNAcentral is "partial 23S ribosomal RNA". It matches the Rfam family "Bacterial large subunit ribosomal RNA", at positions 1512 to 2925 of the family's 2925-position model. Lineage: Bacteria; Pseudomonadati; Pseudomonadota; Gammaproteobacteria; Enterobacterales; Enterobacteriaceae. The record is from RNAcentral.